GACGAACCGAGCAAACGUUAUUCGGAAUCACUGGGCUUAAAGGGCGCGUAGGCGGGUCAGCAAGUCAGGGGUGAAAGCCCCCAGCUCAACUGGGGAAGUGCCUUUGAUACUGUUGAUCUCGAGGGAGGUAGGGGCGUGCGGAACUUCCGGUGGAGCGGUGAAAUGCGUAGAUAUCGGAAGGAACACCGGUGGCGAAAGCGGCGCGCUGGACCUCUUCUGACGCUGAGGCGCGAAAGCCAGGGGAGCAAAC
This 250-nucleotide ribosomal RNA is filed under the name uncultured bacterium. RNAcentral describes it as "partial 16S ribosomal RNA". It matches the Rfam family "Bacterial small subunit ribosomal RNA", at positions 524 to 773 of the family's 1533-position model. The record is from RNAcentral.